UGCUCAUCAAGAGUUGGUGGAGGGAUUGGCCCAAUGAAACCGCGGCAACCAUUUGGAAAUCCAAAACGGUGCCAAUUCCUGCGGAAUAAUCCGCAAGAUGGGAG
RNAcentral lists this non-coding RNA (104 nucleotides) under Pelosinus fermentans. Its description in RNAcentral is "SAM-I sequence". It matches the Rfam family "SAM riboswitch aptamer (S box leader)". Rfam says of the family: The SAM riboswitch is found upstream of a number of genes which code for proteins involved in methionine or cysteine biosynthesis in Gram-positive bacteria. Lineage: Bacteria; Bacillati; Bacillota; Negativicutes; Selenomonadales; Sporomusaceae. The record is from RNAcentral.